Molecule: long non-coding RNA, 209 nt
Filed under: Homo sapiens (human)
Lineage: Eukaryota; Metazoa; Chordata; Mammalia; Primates; Hominidae
Description: non-protein coding lnc-WDFY4-6:1
Source: RNAcentral
UAAUGGAGCCAAUACACCCCGUGGGCUGUGGCCUGGCACCAGGCACUUGACCUAGAAGCAACCGUCCUGCACAGAGGUGAACAUUCAGGACGUGUUCUCAAAUGGUUAUUUUAGGAUCCUUAGGACUUUGAAGACUCUGAAAGGAAGGCUUAUUUUUGCAACCUCUCCUGAUAAGAAGAAGCAGGCCCUGGGCCACUCCCUACCACCCC